UUUGGUAUGUUUAUUAUUGGUAUUAUUUGGCAUUAGUGAGAGUUGUUCCAUAAAUCUUCCUGAUUGUUCUUCUCUGGAUAUACUAUUAUGAAUCUGGUGUCCAUUGUUAGUUCAAUUUUGGAUUAAGGGUUCAAUUCUUUACUUAUUUUAGUUACUGAUUUUUUUAUAUUCACUUUGAUAUAUUUACUUGUGAUAUGGUUCGAAUUGGCUCACACCUUUUCCUGGUUGUUCCGUCCUUGGAUAUAUCCUUUAUAAAUCUGAUGUCCAUGGAUAGUUCAAUUUUGGUUUGGUGCCCAAUUCGACACUUAGCAUUAUUAUGAACUUUAGUGCAAUAUUUAGUUCUGUUUUGACUUUUAAGCAAUAUUAUGUCAAUAUUUGGUAGCAGAGAGUAACAGUAACAUUUUAGUAUGAAUUUGAGUCAUAUAUUUAUUUUUCCUUGAUCAUUAGUUUAUAUUUAGAAGUAAUCUUGCGAAUCAACGUGGAUUGUUAGACUAUUGUAAAUUUAGUUGUUAAUAUUUUGAAGUUUAGAAAAAAAAUUUUAUGGAUAAAAUUUUUUUUCCCGAGUAGAAGGGGAUUGUAACGGUCACGUUACAAAAUUAGCUCUUUAAUUAUUAUUAUAAUUAUUUUUCCUCGGUCUCCAUUUAAAUUCUCUAAUUUCUCGUAUAGGACUACUGGGGUGACGUCAUACCUCGGUGAUGGAACGUACUCCACCUAUCGAGAAUGAUUUCGUUUUCUGAGAGAGUUUGACGUUUACCUUGGCGGAGAAGCGCCUCUCGUUCUUUACUUGACUGUUGGCUGUUGUGUCGAAUAGAGGUACCAUAUAGAAUGGCGGAUGAUUUCAUCCAACUUAUUUUAUAACAUCAAGCAAUUUAACGUAAAGUAAAAAGUUACCACCAGGGAUUGUCUGGAGUGAGGAGACAUGUGGGUGACAACUCCUGUUGGAGUAUAAAUAGGAAUCAUUCGCCAUUUGGGAGAAACCCUACCAUGAAGUCCUAGACCUUAUUUGACCACCUUGGGAAACCACUACAGCCACAGUCAAGUCAUCAUUGGGUAGUAAUUGUGGGAACAAGCUAUGGGAGCGUUCCAGCUCAAUUUUCGUCUUGGCACCUGGGCCUAGUCGCACCAUCCUGGUGCAUCAUUUUCUAGGAUGCAACCGCAACCUCGUUUGGGAACAUUCAGUGAGGUGUUUAGUAACUAUUGGUUUUUUUUUAUAUUUCAGACUAUCUGUUAAAUACACUAUGUUUUUUUUCCAGAUUUAGGUUACCUCUGGUUUUUUUUUGACAUAUUUGUAUAUUAGAUUAUUUGGUUCCCAAACUUUGUAUCUACGGUAACUUCUUGUGCACAGGAAUAAGCCUAGAGAAAAUUAGGUUUUUAAUACUUUAUUAUUGCUUUGAUAUUGGUUUAUGUAAUUCGGGUAAAUUUAUUUUUUUAAUAUUACUAGCUUGUUUCCCAAAUAUUUUACUGUUAUUCGCUUUAUUCCAUUUGUUCGGUUAAUUUAGGUCAUCGUCGGUAUUUAUCUCAACUUCAUUUCUAUUUAUACUUAACUUACUUACUUCAUUAUUGUAUUUUCCCUUAGUGAGGCUUGGGCCUAUUUAUUUGUAUUAUUUUCAUCUUUGUCAGUUUCCUUUAGUUGUACGUAGCAGGCGUACUAUAACCAUUUGGUAGAAGACUUAUGUAAUUUUGUACCCUAUAUAUAUGUAAGAGGUAUUUAAGUUUAUAACAGAUAACAUUAUUGUUGUUAUCUUUAAAAUAUAUAUAGCUUCUUGUAUAACUUAUGUCAUUUUAGAGUUACAUGAUAUAUGCUUGUCUAACUCAGAGAUUGUUAAAAAUCUAGUAGUUAUUUUAAUAAAUAUUUAUUUAUUUUGUA
Long non-coding RNA from Diabrotica virgifera virgifera (western corn rootworm), 1867 nucleotides. RefSeq lists it as uncharacterized. The transcript is spliced from 2 exons. NCBI's taxonomy places the organism in Eukaryota, Metazoa, Arthropoda, Insecta, Coleoptera, Chrysomelidae. The record is from RefSeq and is a predicted model, not a curated record.